RNAcentral lists this long non-coding RNA (745 nucleotides) under Nicotiana tabacum (common tobacco). RNAcentral describes it as "long non-coding RNA (NTAB_LNC017277)". The record is from RNAcentral. Lineage: Eukaryota; Viridiplantae; Streptophyta; Magnoliopsida; Solanales; Solanaceae.
UUCCAUACCUUAGCCUUUCUCUCUUAUAGCUUGCUCUCACCUUCCCCUCUUUUCUUUAUCUUCUGUCACUUCUCUCUCUUCUUCUUUCUUCUACCCUUUUCCUCUUUCUUUCUUUGCAUACAACAUUCUUCUUCCUCUUUCUAAUUUUUUGCUCAUAUUUGCUCUGAGAAAAACAAAACAAUUUAAAAAAAAAUCAAAUGGGUCGAGGCAAGAACUGGGCUUCCUAAGUGGUUUCUUGUAAGUUAUUUUUAGUGAUCAAACUGAUAUGUUGGUCUUGUUAGAUGUUUUUCAUACUUUUGUUUGUGUGUUCUGUUAUAUAUGGUUGUGGGAAAUCUUCAAGUUGCCUUUUUUUUAAAAACUGAAUUGUGCUUUCUGGUUGCAUUUACAUGAAUGGCUAAAUAUGUGGUGAAGAUAAAGAACCAAUCUUUUUGCUGCAGUUUGUGGAAAAUCUUCUUAAUUUGCUUGCCUUUUUCACUGAAUUGUAUCUUCUUGUUCUUGCAUUUACACGUAUGGCUUGUAUAUGGUGAACACUGAAAUUCACUAAUCCUCCGCUCAAUCUCAAACCAGGAAAAUGUUGAAAUCUCUGCCAUGUUUGUUCUCACUCAGAUCUUACUAAGGAACUGUUUGUAUAUUAUUGGUUUUGUACCUUUCCACUUGACAUUACAUUUUGCAAUACACUGCUCAAUUUAUAUAGUAAUUUUUGCUAGUUUUCUUCUAAAUCUUGUUUAUUGAAGAUCUGGAUCAG